RNAcentral lists this ribosomal RNA (161 nucleotides) under uncultured bacterium. RNAcentral's name for it is "partial 16S rRNA". It matches the Rfam family "Bacterial small subunit ribosomal RNA", at positions 358 to 511 of the family's 1533-position model. The record is from RNAcentral.
GGAAUCUUCCACAAUGGGCGAAAGCCUGAUGGAGCAACGCCGCGUGUGUGAUGAAGGGUUUCGGCUCGUAAAACACUGUUGUAAGAGAAGAAUGACAUUGAGAGUAACUGUUCAAUGUGUGACGGUAUCUUACCAGAAUGGAACGGCUAAAUACGUGCCAG